GAACUAUCACUCCACAACUGUAAACCUCUUAGACUUCUUAUCUGCAGCAAAAAAUUAACAAAGCUAUUAUGUUGGUUAAAUAUUACAAUUACAAUUGAAAAUAAAAAUGAGGAAAAUAAAAUAAUCUUCUUCAGGUGCGAAUAUUUGGUUGAGAAUCAAAUCCUUGUAUCAAAUGUUUUUCUAAUCACAAUGUAUAACUCAACAAAUACAAGAGUUGAGUCGAAACUCCACCAAAAGAACACCUAUCUUCAACUAAAUAAACUCUCUUUUUACUAUAUCUUCAGUAACAGAAACUUUUCCUACUGGGAUGACACCAUAGCCACGACACCUAGACUCAACUUCUCUGGCUAAAAGCUUAAAUUACUCCAUUAUUUAUACAGCAAAACUGGUCAAAUUUUUCAACCUAACAUUAUGCCUUUUCCUUAAUUUAGACAUGCAAUAUCUAACAUUAAAAAAGUUAAGGCAAAUCAAAAGCAGUAAAUAACGUACGUAGACUGAUUAUCUUGGAAAACAACUGUCGAACCAAUAUUUAAUGGAAUCGAAAAUGUGAACUUUGGAGAACUUGUGAUUUAACGUGGUAGACUGGCAGAUUGGAGAAGAACGUUAACUCAAGAAAAUUCAUAACCUUAGUUGGUGACUCGAAAUCUUGAUAAUUUGAAACGUGAUUCAUCAUCAAGAAAAGAGUAAUUUUGAACCAAUGCACAACAUGGAGAGAGAGGCUUACCAAGACAAUAUUAGACAUACAUUAGGAAUCAUAUCAAAGAAAAUACUUAGUGUUGGUGACUCGAAACCUUGAAAAUUCCAUAGAUAGAAGCAAUAGCUUCCUGGCGAUACACUUUGGAAAGUCAAAACCAUACAAUUGGGGACGACAAAAUACAAAAGAUUGGAGCAUUGAGUUUGAAAGUGAGGAUACAACAUUGUAUGAACUCGGCACUGAGUAAACUUGCAGUGGGAUACAACGAACAAAUAAGAUAAUAGCCGAGAUAAAAUAAG
RNAcentral lists this long non-coding RNA (993 nucleotides) under Capsicum annuum. RNAcentral's name for it is "long non-coding RNA (CANN_LNC006428)". Lineage: Eukaryota; Viridiplantae; Streptophyta; Magnoliopsida; Solanales; Solanaceae. The record is from RNAcentral.